Molecule: microRNA precursor, 72 nt
Filed under: Choloepus hoffmanni (Hoffmann's two-fingered sloth)
Lineage: Eukaryota; Metazoa; Chordata; Mammalia; Pilosa; Megalonychidae
Description: miRNA (ENSCHOG00000014511.1)
Source: RNAcentral
GGGGCUGCCGGGCCUGGGCUGGACUGGGCUGGGCACUUGGCCACAGGCAGCCCUCUGAGGGCCCUUUCAUCU